RNAcentral lists this transfer RNA (74 nucleotides) under Mycobacterium tuberculosis MD17890. Its description in RNAcentral is "tRNA-Pro". It matches the Rfam family "tRNA". From Rfam's summary of the family: Transfer RNA (tRNA) molecules are approximately 80 nucleotides in length. Their secondary structure includes four short double-helical elements and three loops (D, anti-codon, and T loops). The record is from RNAcentral. Lineage: Bacteria; Bacillati; Actinomycetota; Actinomycetes; Mycobacteriales; Mycobacteriaceae. RNAcentral also lists the same sequence under 1 other name.
CGGGCUGUGGCGCAGUUUGGUAGCGUACUUGACUGGGGGUCAAGUGGUCGCAGGUUCAAAUCCUGUCAGCCCGA